Molecule: ribosomal RNA, 384 nt
Filed under: Bradyrhizobium sp. 11LoS20_6
Lineage: Bacteria; Pseudomonadati; Pseudomonadota; Alphaproteobacteria; Hyphomicrobiales; Nitrobacteraceae
Description: bacterial LSU rRNA
Rfam family: Bacterial large subunit ribosomal RNA
Source: RNAcentral
AAUCAAGUGCCUUAAGGGUGUUCGGUGGAUGCCUUGGCGCUGAGAGGCGAUGAAGGACGUGCUACGCUGCGAUAAGCCGUGGGGAGCUGCGAAGAAGCUUUGAUCCGCGGAUUUCCGAAUGGGGAAACCCACCUUCGAUAGCCGGAACUCCAAGACCUUUGUCGAAAGACAUCGGUGUGGGGUUCGACCAGAUAAUGGAAGAAGCCAGGCCUUUAGAUUUCGAUCGAAGAGGUUUUGGAUUUCCGGUUAUCAAGAGAAGGUAUGAGACUUCUGAAUACAUAGGAGGUUUCAAGCAAACCCAGGGAACUGAAACAUCUAAGUACCUGGAGGAAAGGACAUCAACAGAGACUCCGUUAGUAGUGGCGAGCGAACGCGGACCAGGCC